CUAGUUUCUGUUUCACUUAGUUCUUUUUCUGGUGUUUUGUAGUGUUCCCUUGCUUAGAAAGUAUUCCUUUGCCUCCUCAUUAUGCCUCUUUCUCUGUGCUAUUUUCUUUGUACUAGGUGAGUUGGCUAUGUCUCCUGAUCUUGGAGAAGUGGCCUUAUGUAUGAGAUGCCUUAUGAGGCCUGAGAUUCUUAAUCUUAUCAAGAAGAAGAAAAUAAACUAUGAGUUUAACAGCUGACUGAGAGAUGUGGGCAAACAUUGGGUCUUUCCUUAACAACCCUUCCUAGUUAUAGAAUUAUUUUAAGAAAUCAUCCUUUAGGGUGGAUGAACGAGUGCUAAGAAAAUAUAUCUCUACCUGGUUGCCACAGGUAAUGAUCUGUGGAAUUUCUCCAAAUCCCAGGCAGAAGUCAGAAGAGUGACCAAGAGUGAAGGUUCCAGAGAAGAUGAAUGUCAGGUUAUAGAUAUGAUAGAGUCCAUCUAUGGAGACAAGACUGAAUAAAAAUGCACAGUCUUUCUGAGAGGCCU
Molecule: long non-coding RNA, 522 nt
Filed under: Equus asinus (donkey)
Lineage: Eukaryota; Metazoa; Chordata; Mammalia; Perissodactyla; Equidae
Description: lncRNA (ENSEASG00005034921.1, ENSEASG00020021279.1)
Source: RNAcentral